UUAAGCGACUAAGCGUACACGGUGGAUGCCCUGGCAGUCAGAGGCGAUGAAGGACGUGCUAAUCUGCGAAAAGCGCCGGCGAGGUGAUAUGAACCCUUGACCCGGCGAUGUCCGAAUGGGGAAACCCAGUGUGAUUCGUCACACUAUCGUUAACUGAAUACAUAGGUUAACGAGGCGAACCGGGGGAACUGAAACAUCUAAGUACCCCGAGGAAAAGAAAUCAACCGAGAUUCCCCCAGUAGCGGCGAGCGAACGGGGAGCAGCCCGGAGUCUGAAUCAGCUUGUGUGUUAGUGGAACGGUCUGGAAAGUCCGACGGUACAGGGUGAUAGUCCCGUACACGAAAGCACACUUGCUGUGAACUCGAAGAGUAGGGCGGGACACGUGGUAUCCUGUCUGAAUAUGGGGGGACCAUCCUCCAAGGCUAAAUACUCCUGACUGACCGAUAGUGAACCAGUACCGUGAGGGAAAGGCGAAAAGAACCCCGGCGAGGGGAGUGAAAAAGAACCUGAAACCGUGUACGUACAAGCAGUGGGAGCACCUUCGUGGUGUGACUGCGUACCUUUUGUAUAAUGGGUCAGCGACUUAUAUUCUGUAGCAAGGUUAACCGUAUAGGGGAGCCGAAGGGAAACCGAGUCUUAACUGGGCGUUAAGUUGCAGGGUAUAGACCCGAAACCCGGUGAUCUAGCCAUGGGCAGGUUGAAGGUUGGGUAACACUAACUGGAGGACCGAACCGACUAAUGUUGAAAAAUUAGCGGAUGACCUGUGGCUGGGGGUGAAAGGCCAAUCAAACCGGGAGAUAGCUGGUUCUCCCCGAAAGCUAUUUAGGUAGCGCCUCGUGAACUCAUCUUCGGGGGUAGAGCACUGUUUCGGCUAGGGGGCCAUCCCGGCUUACCAACCCGAUGCAAACUACGAAUACCGAAGAAUGUUAUCACGGGAGACACACGGCGGGUGCUAACGUCCGUCGUGAAGAGGGAAACAACCCAGACCGCCAGCUAAGGUCCCAAAGUCAUGGUUAAGUGGGAAACGAUGUGGGAAGGCACAGACAGCCAGGAUGUUGGCUUAGAAGCAGCCAUCAUUUAAAGAAAGCGUAAUAGCUCACUGGUCGAGUCGGCCUGCGCGGAAGAUGUAACGGGGCUAAACCAUGCACCGAAGCUGCGGCAGCGACACUAUGUGUUGUUGGGUAGGGGAGCGUUCUGUAAGCCGUUGAAGGUGUGCUGUGAGGCAUGCUGGAGGUAUCAGAAGUGCGAAUGCUGACAUAAGUAACGAUAAAGCGGGUGAAAAGCCCGCUCGCCGGAAGACCAAGGGUUCCUGUCCAACGUUAAUCGGGGCAGGGUGAGUCGACCCCUAAGGCGAGGCCGAAAGGCGUAGUCGAUGGGAAACAGGUUAAUAUUCCUGUACUUGGUGUUACUGCGAAGGGGGGACGGAGAAGGCUAUGUCAGCCGGGCGACGGUUGUCCCGGUUUAAGCAUGUAGGCGGAGGUUCCAGGUAAAUCCGGUACCUUAUUAACGCUGAGGUGUGAUGACGAGGCACUACGGUGCUGAAGUGAUAAAUGCCCUGCUUCCAGGAAAAGCCUCUAAGCAUCAGGUAACACGAAAUCGUACCCCAAACCGACACAGGUGGUCAGGUAGAGAAUACCAAGGCGCUUGAGAGAACUCGGGUGAAGGAACUAGGCAAAAUGGUGCCGUAACUUCGGGAGAAGGCACGCUGAUGUGUAGGUGAAGCCCCUGCGGGCGGAGCUGAAAUCAGUCGAAGAUACCAGCUGGCUGCAACUGUUUAUUAAAAACACAGCACUGUGCAAACACGAAAGUGGACGUAUACGGUGUGACGCCUGCCCGGUGCCGGAAGGUUAAUUGAUGGGGUUAGCUGUAAGGCGAAGCUCUUGAUCGAAGCCCCGGUAAACGGCGGCCGUAACUAUAACGGUCCUAAGGUAGCGAAAUUCCUUGUCGGGUAAGUUCCGACCUGCACGAAUGGCGUAAUGAUGGCCAGGCUGUCUCCACCCGAGACUCAGUGAAAUUGAACUCGCUGUGAAGAUGCAGUGUACCCGCGGCAAGACGGAAAGACCCCGUGAACCUUUACUAUAGCUUGACACUGAACACUGGUCCUUGAUGUGUAGGAUAGGUGGGAGGCUUUGAAGCGUGGACGCCAGUCUGCGUGGAGCCGCCCUUGAAAUACCACCCUUUAAUGGCUGGUGUUCUAACGUAGACCCGUAAUCCGGGUUGCGGACAGUGUCUGGUGGGUAGUUUGACUGGGGCGGUCUCCUCCCAAAGAGUAACGGAGGAGCACGAAGGUUGGCUAAUCCUGGUCGGACAUCAGGAGGUUAGUGCAAUGGCAUAAGCCAGCUUGACUGCGAGCGUGACGGCGCGAGCAGGUGCGAAAGCAGGUCAUAGUGAUCCGGUGGUUCUGAAUGGAAGGGCCAUCGCUCAACGGAUAAAAGGUACUCCGGGGAUAACAGGCUGAUACCGCCCAAGAGUUCAUAUCGACGGCGGUGUUUGGCACCUCGAUGUCGGCUCAUCACAUCCUGGGGCUGAAGUAGGUCCCAAGGGUAUGGCUGUUCGCCAUUUAAAGUGGUACGCGAGCUGGGUUUAGAACGUCGUGAGACAGUUCGGUCCCUAUCUGCCGUGGGCGCUGGAGAAUUGAGGGGGCUGCUCCUAGUACGAGAGGACCGGAGUGGACGCAUCACUGGUGUUCGGGUUGUCAUGCCAAUGGCACUGCCCGGUAGCUAAAUGCGGAAGAGAUAAGUGCUGAAAGCAUCUAAGCACGAAACUUGCCCCGAGAUGAGUUCUCCCUGAGACUUUAAGUCUCCUGAAGGAACGUUAAAGACUAUGACGUUGAUAGGUCGGGUGUGUAAGCGCAGCGAUGCGUUGAGCUAACCGAUACUAAUGAACCGUGAGGCUUAACCUU
RNAcentral lists this ribosomal RNA (2902 nucleotides) under Enterobacter cloacae. RNAcentral's name for it is "bacterial LSU rRNA". It matches the Rfam family "Bacterial large subunit ribosomal RNA". RNAcentral also lists the same sequence under 1 other name. The record is from RNAcentral. Lineage: Bacteria; Pseudomonadati; Pseudomonadota; Gammaproteobacteria; Enterobacterales; Enterobacteriaceae.